ACGGUCAACUCACAUUGAAACACCAGUCACCAAAGUUAAGCAAUGUUGAGUCUGGUCAGUACCUAGAUGGGUGACCACUUGGGAAUACCAGGUGCUGUAAG
Acanthosepion pharaonis is the source of this 101-nucleotide non-coding RNA. NCBI's taxonomy places the organism in Eukaryota, Metazoa, Mollusca, Cephalopoda, Sepiida, Sepiidae. The record is from the annotation of a GenBank genome assembly.